Molecule: transfer RNA, 85 nt
Filed under: SAR116 cluster bacterium
Lineage: Bacteria; Pseudomonadati; Pseudomonadota; Alphaproteobacteria; Puniceispirillales (SeqCode)
Description: tRNA-Tyr
Rfam family: tRNA
About the family: Transfer RNA (tRNA) molecules are approximately 80 nucleotides in length. Their secondary structure includes four short double-helical elements and three loops (D, anti-codon, and T loops).
Source: RNAcentral
GGUGGGGUGGCCGAGUGGUUAAAGGCAGCAGACUGUAAAUCUGCCCGCAUUGCGUACGUAGGUUCGAAUCCUACCCCCACCACCA